GAUGAACGCUGGCGGCGUGCCUAAUACAUGCAAGUCGAGCGAACGGACGAGAAGCUUGCUUCUCUGAUGUUAGCGGCGGGCGGGUGAGUAACACGUGGAUAACCUACCUAUAAGACUGGGAUAACUUCGGGAAACCGGAGCUAAUACCGGAUAAUAUUUUGAACCGCAUGGUUCAAAAGUGAAAGACGGUCUUGCUGUCACUUAUAGAUGGAUCCGCGCUGCAUUAGCUAGUUGGUAAGGUAACGGCUUACCAAGGCAACGAUGCAUAGCCGACCUGAGAGGGUGAUCGGCCACACUGGAACGUAGACACGGUCCAGACUCCUACGGGAGGCAGCAGUAGGGAAUCUUCCGCAAUGGGCGAAAGCCUGACGGAGCAACGCCGCGUGAGUGAUGAAGGUCUUCGGAUCGUAAAACUCUGUUAUUAGGGAAGAACAUAUGUGUAAGUAACUGUGCACAUCUUGACGGUACCUAAUCAGAAAGCCACGGCUAACUACGUG
This 497-nucleotide ribosomal RNA is filed under the name uncultured bacterium. RNAcentral's name for it is "partial 16S ribosomal RNA". It matches the Rfam family "Bacterial small subunit ribosomal RNA", at positions 28 to 507 of the family's 1533-position model. The record is from RNAcentral.